GUGAGGAAUUUUCCGCAAUGGGCGAAAGCCUGACGGAGCAAUGCCGCGUGAAGGAUGAAGGCCUAUGGGUUGUAAACUUCUUUUCUCAGAAAAGAAUUAUGACGGUAUCUGAGGAAUAAGCAGCGGCUAACUCUGUGCCAGCAGCCGCGGUAAGACAGAGGAUGCAAGCGUUAUCCGGAAUGAUUGGGCGUAAAGCGUCUGUAGGUUGUUUAAACAGUAUUCUGUCAAAGAUUAGGGCUUAACCCUAGAUAGGCAGAAUAAACUUUUAAGCUAGAGUGUGGUAGAGGCAGAGGGAAUUCCCGGUGGAGCGGUGAAAUGCGUUGAUAGCGGGAGGAACACCAAAGGCGAAGGCACUCUGCUGGGCCAAUACUAACACUGAGAGACGAAAGCGAGGGGAGCAAAUGGGAUUAGAAACCCGGGUAGUCC
Molecule: ribosomal RNA, 426 nt
Filed under: uncultured bacterium
Lineage: Bacteria
Description: partial 16S ribosomal RNA
Rfam family: Bacterial small subunit ribosomal RNA
Source: RNAcentral